AAAAAUGUAUGUUAUUCCCAAAUUAAUACACCAAAAAUAUUUACAAACCACGAUGUUUUGUAUUUUAAGUGUUUUUCCACGAUAUUGAAUAUGUAUUGUACGCUUAACAUUAAAUUAUGUUUCUUUUUUCUUCACCAGCCUUUACUAUUGGAUACUAUUAUAAUUUUAUGGGUAUUCCACAAGUAUUACUAGUUUGUAAUAAGUUCUGUAUUUUGGAAUAAAAUUCGUUUUAAAUAAUUAAAAUUCUUAUUUUUUGCGCUUACCUCGUCAUCAUCAUUAUCAUCAUCCUGUACUGUCUGGAUCCAGUUAUUAGCAAAUCAGCUCGAGGUCUCCAUUCCAACAGCUUUUUCGUCUAACUUUCAUCUAUCCUUCAGGCUACGUUUCAACCCAGUUCCUCAUUUCUAACGUAAUCUUUUAGCGAUACUUCGAGCAUUGAUCCUUCCAUUUUACGCUGUAUUGGUCCAAACAUGUUGGCAGAUUUUACCACAUAGGCAGCACGCACUGAUCGAACACUUUUCUUUUUAAACAUAUUGGUAGGUUGCUCUUAAACCACCCUUAGAGACAAACUCUUAGAGAAGAUUAUUCGCAGGUCUGGUUGUCUCUUGUAAUUUUAAUUUCAUGGCCAAGAUGGUCCAAUUUCAUUUCCUUCCAUCACAAUGUUUUCGCUAAGAACCAGAUUAGUCAUAAAUUUUGUUUUAGAGAUAUUGAUUUCCAGACCAACCGAUGCACAUACUUCGUUCAGGUCACGCAGCAUCGCAUUGACACAAAAUUACGGUUAUUACAUUGUGUCAUAUGGAAAUUAACAUUGAAGAAGAAACUGAUAAACCACGGAAACGCCAAAAACGUUCAGCAUCAUGGCAAAAAAGCCUUGAUAAAAUAAUGAGAUAUUCAUCAGCUACUUUUCCGGAGAUGUAGGCAUAAUACAAAGUCCUUCAGAUGCUCUACAAUCGGUAAAGAAGUUAUUUUGGAUUUCCAUAGACGAUACGUCCAGAGAAAUAGUCAUCAGAAAGAAGGAGGUACUUUCCCAACCAAAUGAAGUUCCUGAUCUUGAUUGGAAAAGUGAAGUUAAUGUAUGUGAAGUAUUAUAAAACCACCAAGGCAGUGACAUUUCAAGUUUGCACCUUCCAAGCGUUUCUUUAUUAAAAGGAAUCAAAAAAAGAAUAACAUUCUUAUUCAAAGAGUUAUUAUUUCUGACUUAUUUCUGUUUUAUUCUUUAAGUGUUCUCUCUUAUAAUUUUGGUUAAAUAAAGUUUAUUUUGCAUAA
Non-coding RNA from Onthophagus taurus, 1263 nucleotides. The record is from RefSeq and is a predicted model, not a curated record. Lineage: Eukaryota; Metazoa; Arthropoda; Insecta; Coleoptera; Scarabaeidae.